AGCGGGGUAGUGCUUGCACUACUGCCGGCGACCGGCGCACGGGUGAGUAACACGUAUGGAACCUGCCCGCAGCAGGGGGAUAAGCGGAAGAAAUUCCGUCUAAUACCGCGUAACAACGUUGGGAGGCAUCUCCCGAUGUUUAAAGAUUUAUCGGCUGCGGAUGGCCAUGCGGCGCAUUAGCUAGUCGGCGGGGUAACGGCCCACCGAGGCGACGAUGCGUAGGGGUUCUGAGCGGAAGGUCCCCCACACUGGUACUGAGACACGGACCAGACUCCUACGGGAGGCAGCAGUGAGGAAUAUUGGUCAAUGGCCGAGAGGCUGAACCAGCCAAGUCGCGUGAGGGAAGACGGCCCUACGGGUUGUAAACCUCUUUUGUCGGGGAGCAAAGCGAACCACGUGUGGUUCAUUGAGAGUACCCGAAGAAAAAGCAUCGGCUAACUCCGUGCCAGCAGCCGCGGUAAUACGGAGGAUGCGAGCGUUAUCCGGAUUUAUUGGGUUUAAAGGGUGCGCAGGCGGAGGUGCAAGUCAGCGGUCAAAUUGCGGGGCUCAACCCCGUACUGCCGUUGAAACUGCAUCCCUUGAGUGCGCGAGAAGUAUGCGGAAUGCGUGGUGUAGCGGUGAAAUGCAUAGAUAUCACGAAGAACUCCGAUUGCGAAGGCAGCAUACCGGCGCGCAACUGACGCUCAUGCACGAAAGCGUGGGUAUCGAAACCAGGGUAGAUACCCUGGUGGUCCACGCAGGUAAACGAUGAACACUUAACUGUUCGGCCAGAAUGAUGGGCUGAGUGGUACAGCGAAAGCGUUAAGUGUUCCACCUGGGGAGUACGCCGGCAACGGUGAAACUCAAAGGAAUUGACGGGGGCCCGCACAAGCGGAGGAACAUGUGGUUUAAUUCGAUGAUACGCGAGGAACCUUACCCGGGCUCAAACGACACAGGAAUACUUUUGAAAGGAGGUAGCCCUACGGGGUCUGUGUCGAGGUGCUGCAUGGUUGUCGUCAGCUCGUGCCGUGAGGUGUCGGCUUAAGUGCCAUAACGAGCGCGACCCCUAUCGCCAGUUACCAUCAAGUAAAGUUGGGACUCUGGCGAGACUGCCGGCGCAAGCUGAGAGGAAGGCGGGGAUGACGUCAAAUCAGCACGGCCCUUACGUCCGGGGCGACGCACGUGUUACAAUGGCAGGUACAGAGAGAAGCCAGGUGGCGACACCGCGCGGAACUCGAAAGCCUGUCUCAGUUCGGAUCGGAGUCUGCAACCCGACUCCGUGAAGCUGGAUUCGCUAGUAAUC
This 1282-nucleotide ribosomal RNA is filed under the name uncultured bacterium. RNAcentral describes it as "bacterial SSU rRNA". It matches the Rfam family "Bacterial small subunit ribosomal RNA", at positions 67 to 1343 of the family's 1533-position model. The record is from RNAcentral.